Daucus carota subsp. sativus is the source of this 4300-nucleotide long non-coding RNA. RefSeq lists it as uncharacterized. The transcript has 14 exons. The record is from RefSeq and is a predicted model, not a curated record. Lineage: Eukaryota; Viridiplantae; Streptophyta; Magnoliopsida; Apiales; Apiaceae.
UAUUUUUUCUAAAGGCGAUUAUACAGAGGUUUUCACGUGUAAUCUGAACAUCUAUAUCUAUAUCUAUAUCUAUAUCUAUAUACUCUUAAUACAUGCUAGUGAAGCCCCAAAAAUACUCCAAAAAAUACCCAUCAGUUUGCCUGAUCCGUUAACCCGUUAACCCAUUUACCCGUUUCUGUUUUUUCUCUUGGAUAAUUGAUCGUGCUGCUCCCUUAUCUCCCACGUCCUAUUUCAAAAUUUUGAAUUCCAGAUAUUGCAAAACCAUCUUCAAGCUUUAUGGAUAUCUCAGCAAUCUUCUACCAUUGAUGUAUACAACAAUCUUCAGUAAUGAAGCGAGGUUUUGAUACAAUUGCAGAAUAUGAGUCAACGGGUAUCAGGUUAUCCACAGAGCAUUUCAAAUUUGUAUCUUAAUGUCGUGCUAAUAUAUCCUAAACGGAUUGAUUGCAUGAUCAAAGAAACGGGCAUGGAACAUCUCUGUUAGGAGAUGUAUACAUCCAUGUAAAUAUGUCUCCAACGAGAAAUCCGUGCUAGGAGUCCCAUUCACAGCAUCUUUUUUGCCAGCAAAAGGAAUCAUCGAAGACUGGGAAUAUGUACAAGCAUCUUAUCUCAGUCAUCUGCUUCUAUUCAUGUAUGAGGACAAUCCGCUGUUUUUUGCUCAUCAAGACUUUAAUAAAGUCGGCAAGUUCAAGCAACCUUUAGCAAGUAGCAUGGUUGAUAUCGUCACUAGCUCCUGUCCCGGAUAUCAUUAUGAUUGUGAACAAGUAGUCACACUGUUUAGUUGGUUCAAUUGUUGGCGCUGCAAUUGGUUGAUGGAUAAAUUUCAGAUUUGGGCAAAAGAAAUCAAUCUUGCUACCCUAUGUGCCAUUUUUUGCUGGCGGUAAUUAAUCCUUUUGUUGGCCCAAAGAUGAUUGUACAUUAUGGAAGAAGAAAAUUUGUAGGUUCAGGAUUUAAAAGCUACCGGAUGCUUCGUAACCAUGGUUUUUGCAGGUGAAUUCAAGUUGCAGGUUUUUGCAGGUGAAUUCAAGUUAAAGGUUUUUACAGUUGUUUCAACAGGUAGUACUAAACAAUGGGCUAAACCAGAUUAUCAUUUGGACAGUCAAAGUAAAUUAUGGAACUAGGAAAAGAGAAGUUAUAGAACUGUGAGAAAGCUGGUGGGAUGGUACAAAAUCUAAUCAUUUGCUUCAAAUUCGAGAGCGAAGCAGUGUGCAAAAAGAUUUUUCAGGUGUUUGUAUGGAUUCUAAUCACAAUCCUGCGGUGAAUAGCAAAAUGAAACGGGUACCAUACACCAAGAAGACCUGCUCUGUCUUUAUUGUUUGUGCUUUGCUCUAUUUUCUUACUGAAGCUAAUAACUGGUACACUCUUUAUGUACACACACGAAUCACAAAAUAUGUGGUACCCCUUUUGGAUCUCCCUAGGCCUUCUGACAAAUUUGGACAGGGUAAAAUUGGCUCAAUACAUCUAAUCAAAAUCUUAAGAAUGGUUUCAUUGUAUUGGACCAAUUUCACAGGGUAAAAAUAUUAUUGAACCAAUUUUAGAUUGGGGGAGUACAUGAAGUAAAUGGCAAUGAUCUCAUUUUGCAUAAACUCCCCCCUGUUACACUCCAACAAGUCCCCUUCCCCAACCUAAAUAGCUGAUCACCCUUCCUUUAUAUUUUUGUUUGGCUAAUACAACAAUGUGAAUAGAGUCUAAUUCAGUACCAAUCAUCCAGGCCUACAAACUGUCAUAAGCUGUUACAUUCACUUAAUAAAGAAAUAAGAUAUGAAUUGAUAUAGAAGUAUAGUUUAUAACACUGGCAAGUAUUUCAGGAACAAAACUCAGUAGUUAAACAUUUACUUAAUACAAUUCACAAAAUGCAUAUGAUUCAGUAUUCAAAAACUUUGCCAGCUGAAAUGGUCUUCUUUUAAAUACACAAGCACACACGUUAUCGAAAUACACCCUAGCAAUAUGCAUGACAAAGUUCAUAACUUUGCAGAGUGACAUAUCUUAAAUUUAAAAAAUUGACACAGACCGGGUAUAGAGCUGGUAGAUAGACUAGAGAAACUUUCCAUAGACCUGAAAGUGUAUGUAAAUUUUUGCAUCUACUAAAUAUAGUUUCAAGUUCUGCAAAUUGGCAGGGCACGAGCUGUUGUUGAAAAGAACCAGUACCUCCUCUUCGUACUUCUGGCAAGAAUAUGUCGACAAGAUUUGCAGGUUGAUUUUAAAAUAAAUCAAUGAAGAUUUUAUAGUGAAAUGACAGGUAUUAACAACCAGUUUUAUGAUUGAUUUUCGCAUUACAUUAUAGUUUCCGGACGUAUUUAUUUUCAAGAUGCAGCAAUCUUGGUCUUACUUUCUAGAAAGUCUCGGAGAUUCGAGGAGGUGUUUGUGGCAUGUUGUUGGGGUUCUGGUGAGCAUACUAGGUUUGGUAGUUCUGCAGUCAGCUUUGGUAUCUUGCUGAGUCAUUUUGGGUGGUUAUUAGUUCUGGUACAGCCUUGGUAUCUUGCCGAGUAUUUUAUUUUUUGCUGAGGGUUAAGUGCGGUUGUGAAUGGUAUUUUUCUGUUAAUUGGGUUCAGGACCUGUAAGUAUUGCUGUACCUUGGCUUCCCAUAUUUUUAUUCUCAAUCAUUUAAGCUGGCCAGGUUGUAUUGGGAUAGUAGUUCAGUGGUUAUAUAAUAUUUGCCUACUUUGGAUUGUCUGGGACUUAUUGUGUGGGUCAUUGGUAUUGCUCAGAAGUGAUCAGUGCAUGGUCAGAGUGUUGUGUGGUAGAUUCAAUUAUUUGGAAUGGUUGGGGAGGGUGCUGUUAUCUCUGGCCGGAAGUUUUUAGUUUUAUUUGGCUUGCUUUUUAUUUUUUUAUACGUUGGAGGACAUGCAUAUUUAUUUUCUAUAGUUAGUUGGUUGUUUUGCCUCUUUGAGUUUGUUAUUCGAGGUUUUGUUUUCCAGAUAGGAGUCCUCUCUUUGUAUUUUUUUCUCUCUAUGUUAUAAAAUUUAUACGAGGUGCCGCCCUUAUUUACCGAAAAAAAGAGUAUGCGUUUGAUUACUGUUGUAGAAAUUAAUAUUGUAUGUGGCGUUAUUCUGUACUUUGUUAUCAUCCAUGUCGGGAUUCAAGAUUUUAAUCUCUAAUUUGUUGGAUUGAUUUUACAGGUCUUGGUAUGAACAACAAAAUGAAUUAGAAUGCUAUCUCCGUCCUUAAACGAAGAUAUUAUUGCAUCUUGACUUUCUCGGAACCGGAGGAAGUAGUCAAUAUAAAGAAUAAGCAUAUUCUGGGGUAUUUGACAAAUAUGAGUGCGAUUGUGCGGCGGCCAAGUUACGAGGUCGUGGUCCAGGUGCCAACAAUAUGGGGGAUUCCCAACAACCGGUGCUUGCUCAUCACAAAGAUCCAUUAGUUGCUCCUAGGCGUAGAGGUAGACGUCCAGGAGUUGAGAAACUUCUGGCACAGAGAUUUGGCGAGGAAAGUGGCAACACAAUAAAGGAUCAGACUUCUGCAGAAGAUGGCAACAUUUAAAUCACAAAGAUGUGGCAAAUUCUGGCAGUAUAGGUGAUAGGAAGUUUUUUACACUGAUUUGCAGACAAAUUUCGGUUUAAUGACACUAGCUUUCUAAAAUAUCAACUUAGCAAAAAAAUGUGGAAAUAAUGACAAGAGCAGAGUGAAAGGGAUGAGUUAAAGCACCUCUUCUUAUAUAAAACACAUCAGACAUUGAUAAUAUAAUUCUGCCUCUGGGGGUGUUAGCCGUAUUGGUCGCGGUCAUGUUAGUGGUAAAAAAUUCAAUGUUAUGUAUAAUAGUGACAAGGAGAACAGUCCAGCGUCUAUGGAUGUUUGUGGAAAAUCAGAGGUUUCUGCUGAUCAGGAGCAGGUAGUGAUAGUCUGUUAGUAGAUCAAGCUAAGCAGAAGAAGGAUAUUUAGGUGGAUGUGACUAUGUGGUCUGUAGAUGAUAUUUUGGGUGAUAAAGUUAAAGAGUGUGAGUUUAGUGGCAGUAAGCUGCAUCCUGAAGAAUUAACAAUAAUGGAGCAAAGGAUUGAAGGAGGAGAAAAAUGUGAAGCGAGUGCAGAACAGAUUGAUCUGUGUCGAAAAGGAGUACAUGUCAGAGCUUGAUGAAACGAAUUAUUUUAUGAUGCAGGGGAUUGAUCAACAGGUGCAAGGUGGUGAGUGUACAGGGUGGGAGUCUGAUGACAAGGAGAACAAAGACAAGCUGCUGAUUUGAUUUUAGCAAGUUUCUCAUCUUCUUUGUAGUUAAAAUGAUAUAAUUUUUAAUAAAUUCAUUAAAAUAUUGUUAAUAUCACAAUGAUAUAUUAUUUAUCAAUUAUUUGUCUGAAAGAUGUUUAUUAUA